RNAcentral lists this ribosomal RNA (497 nucleotides) under uncultured bacterium. RNAcentral describes it as "partial 16S ribosomal RNA". It matches the Rfam family "Bacterial small subunit ribosomal RNA", at positions 28 to 507 of the family's 1533-position model. The record is from RNAcentral.
GAUGAACGCUGGCGGCGUGCCUAAUACAUGCAAGUCGAGCGAACAGACGAGGAGCUUGCUCCUCUGACGUUAGCGGCGGACGGGUGAGUAACACGUGGAUAACCUACCUAUAAGACUGGGAUAACUUCGGGAAACCGGAGCUAAUACCGGAUAAUAUAUUGAACCGCAUGGUUCAAUAGUGAAAGACGGUUUUGCUGUCACUUAUAGAUGGAUCCGCGCCGCAUUAGCUAGUUGGUAAGGUAACGGCUCACCAAGGCAACGAUGCGUAGCCGACCUGAGAGGGUGAUCGGCCACACUGGAACUGAGACACGGUCCAGACUCCUACGGGAGGCAGCAGUAGGGAAUCUUCCGCAAUGGGCGAAAGCCUGACGGGGCAACGCCGCGUGAGUGAUGAAGGUCUUCGGAUCGUAAAACUCUGUUAUUAGGGAAGAACAAAUGUGUAAGUAACUAUGCACGUCUUGACGGUACCUAAUCAGAAAGCCACGGCUAACUACGUG